This 253-nucleotide ribosomal RNA is filed under the name uncultured bacterium. RNAcentral's name for it is "partial 16S ribosomal RNA". It matches the Rfam family "Bacterial small subunit ribosomal RNA", at positions 524 to 776 of the family's 1533-position model. The record is from RNAcentral.
AACGUAGGGGGCGAGCGUUGCCCGGAUUCACUGGGCGUAAAGCGCGUGUAGGCGGUUCGUUAAGUCGGAUGUGAAAUCCCACGGCUCAACUGUGGAAUUGCAUCCGAUACUGGCGAACUUGAGGACGGUAGAGGUCGGUGGAAUUCCCGGUGUACCGGUGAAAUGGGCAGAUAUCGGGAGGAACACCAGUGGCGAAGGCGGCCGACUGGGCCGAUCCUGACGCUGAGACGCGAAAGCCAGGGGAGCGAACCGG